Molecule: ribosomal RNA, 305 nt
Filed under: uncultured bacterium
Lineage: Bacteria
Description: bacterial SSU rRNA
Rfam family: Bacterial small subunit ribosomal RNA
Source: RNAcentral
AUUCCUACGGGACGCAGCAGUGAGGAAUAUUGGUCAAUGGACGAAAGUCUGAACCAGCCAUGCCGCGUGCAGGAUGACGGCUCUAUGAGUUGUAAACUGCUUUUGUAUUAGGGUAAACACCCCUACGUGUAGGGGCUUGAAAGUAUAAUACGAAUAAGGAUCGGCUAACUCCGUGCCAGCAGCCGCGGUAAUACGGAGGAUCCAAGCGUUAUCCGGAUUUAUUGGGUUUAAAGGGUGCGUAGGCGGGACCUUAAGUCAGCGGUAAAAUUGCGGUGCUCAACGCCGUAGAGCCGUUGAAACUGGGG